CCUACAUCACCUUGUACAAGUCACUUAAAUUCUCUGCUCCUUCUUCUGCAUAACAGCAAUAAUAUCACCUACUUGGUUCUAUGGAAUCAAUGCAGAUAAUUUAGGAAUUAAAUUGAAAUCAACACAAAAGCAGCUGGUGGAAUUAAGAUAUGCAGAAAGAGAGGAAAAAGUGUCGUCCAGCACUGUGAAGAGAGGAUACUGUACUUUUCAGCCAGCUGCCUGGGGAGAAUAUCACAUUCUGUGGAACAGCCCACCUAAGGAGUGGGAGAGCUCCUGACUCUGAGCCUGUAAACAGCCUGCCCAGCCAACAACUUCCUAAGCUUUUGCUCUGUGCCCCAGUCUGCUGCAAGCUGCAUUAAGAUGCAUCAACUCAGCUGGCAUAGUGGUGCAUACCUGCAAUCCCAGUGGCUCAGGAGGCUGAAACAGGAGAAUCGUGCACUGGACUGAGCUGCUACAUACUACACUGCUUAGUUCUUCCUUUCAUCUGCAGCUUCAAACUGAUGCUGACCUAUUCAAAGACCACAUGUAAAUAACACAGAAGAGGCAGUGUCAUCAGUGAACUUGAACAGAAUGAGAUGCUGGUCCACUCUGUGAUAAAUCACACCAAUAAGACAUGGUGAAUGUGAAGCAAUGCUAUCAAUGCUGGAUGUCCCGGUAAGGUACAGGAAGACAAAUCAGAAAAGGAAGAUAAAUUCUAUGAAGAAGAUACAAUUAUCUGAUGUAUUCCUGGUUAUCCUAAAAGAAAGAACACAAUAUUUCUCCUAUACCACCUAGCAGUAAGAAAGAGACCUCCUUUGUAGGCGUUCAUAGGUUUUGGGCAGAGCUGCUCUAAUUACUUAUGAGAUGACAUGGGAGGCUUCCAAAAUUAGGAAGCCCAGAGAAAGUGAGAACUCUGCACAGUUGUAGAUUGCAUCACAAGCUGUUCUAACACUAAGGCCAAGUAUUAUGCUAAUUGAAUUGGCUAAAAAUGGUCUCUGCUAAUCCUCACUACAAGAUUUGCAAUGAGGAUCUCCAUGGUACUGGAGCAAGUUCUGGAGCAGGGAAUUACUCUAUGUUAAAAACUGCUCUUGGUAUGCUAAUGGGCCCUGAGAGAGGCUUUAUCUCCUUGCCCAUUUCUAGCUGAGUACUAUCAGUUCCAUUUUGUCAAAGGUAAGACAAGUGCAGCCAUAGUCAAAUGGAAUGUUUGGAAUUGGUCCCAAGCACUUCCAAAAAAAUGAUUCAAUUACAGGAGGAGUUCAGAAUCCCAUGUUGCAUACCAUUAUUGCAUCGUUGCCUCUAUUCAAUUUAUUGUUACAAAUUUCUUGAGGAGUAACUGUAACCUGGUGACUGGAGAGUGAAAAAUUUUAACCCAGUCCAUGGGUGCUGCAGCCUGUUUCACACACAGUACAUUUUAG
This is a non-coding RNA of Ictidomys tridecemlineatus (thirteen-lined ground squirrel), 1394 nucleotides long. NCBI's taxonomy places the organism in Eukaryota, Metazoa, Chordata, Mammalia, Rodentia, Sciuridae. The record is from RefSeq and is a predicted model, not a curated record.